UACGUCUGGAGUUUAUAGAGGAUGAGAAUCUCCGAAGGAGGUUUGAGCCGAGCGUAGCGAGACAACGUUGCUUCAGCAACGGCCCGCAGGGGAAUAAUCCUCUCUCGCCGACCA
This 114-nucleotide small RNA is filed under the name Buttiauxella sp. 3AFRM03. RNAcentral describes it as "RtT sRNA". It matches the Rfam family "RtT RNA". From Rfam's summary of the family: This family represents a bacterial cis-regulatory element known as RtT RNA. The record is from RNAcentral. Lineage: Bacteria; Pseudomonadati; Pseudomonadota; Gammaproteobacteria; Enterobacterales; Enterobacteriaceae.